RNAcentral lists this ribosomal RNA (408 nucleotides) under uncultured bacterium. Its description in RNAcentral is "partial 16S ribosomal RNA". It matches the Rfam family "Bacterial small subunit ribosomal RNA", at positions 30 to 526 of the family's 1533-position model. The record is from RNAcentral.
AUUGAACGCUGGCGGCGUGCCUAAUACAUGCAAGUCGAGCGAAGCGGCGGAUGGGUGAGUAACGCGUGGGUAACCUACCCUACAGGAUUGGAUACCAUUUGGAAACGGAUGCUAAUACCGGCUACUAAAGGAUGGGACUGCGAUGCAUUAGCUAGUUGGUAAGGGAACGGCUUACAAAGGCGAUGAUGCAUAGCCGAGUUGAGAGGCUGAUCGGCCACAGUGGGACUGAGACACGGCCCAAACUCCUACGGGAGGCAGCAGUAGGGAAGCUUCCACAAUGGACGAAAGUCUGAUGGAGCAACGCCGCGUGAGUGAAGAAGGUUUUCGGAUCGUAAAGCUCUGUUGUUGGGGAAGCGGUAAUCAACCAGAAAGCCACGGCUAACUACGUGCCAGCAGCCGCGGUAAUAC